Molecule: microRNA precursor, 95 nt
Filed under: Mustela putorius furo (domestic ferret)
Lineage: Eukaryota; Metazoa; Chordata; Mammalia; Carnivora; Mustelidae
Description: miRNA (ENSMPUG00000022504.1)
Source: RNAcentral
AUCACCUGGGGACCUUGUUAAAUUUCAAAUUCAGAUUCAGGAGGUCUGGGAUGUGCCUGAGAUUCUGCAUUUCUAACAAGUUCCAGGCAAUGGCA